GAUGAAGAACGUAGCGAAAUGCGAUAAGUAAUGUGAAUUGCAGAAUUCAGUGAAUCAUCGAAUCUUUGAACGCACAUUGCGCCCGCCAGUAUUCUGGCGGGCAUGCCUGUUCGAGCGUCAUUUCAACCAUCAAGCCCCCGGGCUUGUGUUGGGGACCUGCGGCUGCCGCAGGCCCUGAAAAGCAGUGGCGGGCUCGCUGUCACACCGAGCGUAGUAGAUUUUAUCUCGCUCUGGGCGUGCUGCGGGUUCCGGCCGUUAAACCACCCUUUUAACCCAAGGUUGACCUCGGAUCAGGUGGGAAGACCCGCUGAACUUAAGCAUAUCAAUAAGCGGAGGA
This 337-nucleotide unclassified non-coding RNA is filed under the name soil metagenome. RNAcentral's name for it is "partial contains 5.8S ribosomal RNA, internal transcribed spacer 2, and large subunit ribosomal RNA". The stretch from base 1 to 120 matches the Rfam family "5.8S ribosomal RNA", at positions 35 to 154 of the family's 154-position model. The record is from RNAcentral.